GCCAGACUCCUACGGGAGGCAGCAGUGGGGAAUAUUGCACAAUGGGGGAAACCCUGAUGCAGCGACGCCGCGUGAGUGAAGAAGUAUUUCGGUAUGUAAAGCUCUAUCAGCAGGGAAGAAAAUGACGGUACCUGAUUAAGAAGCCCCGGCUAACUACGUGCCAGCAGCCGCGGUAAUACGUAGGGGGCAAGCGUUAUCCGGAUUUACUGGGUGUAAAGGGAGCGUAGACGGUGAUGCAAGUCAGAAGUGAAAGCCCGGGGCUCAACUCCGGGACUGCUUUUGAAACUGUGUGACUGGAGUGCAGGAGAGGUAAGCGGAAUUCCUGGUGUAGCGGUGAAAUGCGUAGAUAUCAGGAGGAACACCAGUGGUGAAGGCGGCUUACUGGACUGUAACUGACGUUGAGGCUCGAAAGCGUGGGGAGCAAACAGGAUUAGAUACCCCGGUAGUA
RNAcentral lists this ribosomal RNA (448 nucleotides) under uncultured bacterium. RNAcentral's name for it is "bacterial SSU rRNA". It matches the Rfam family "Bacterial small subunit ribosomal RNA", at positions 330 to 795 of the family's 1533-position model. The record is from RNAcentral.